GUGCCAGCAGCCGCGGUAACACGUAGGGCGCAAGCGUUGUCCGGAUUCAUUGGGCGUAAAGAGCUCGUAGGCGGUUUGGUAAGUCGGGUGUGAAAACUCAGGGCUCAACUCUGAGAUGCCACCCGAUACUGCUAUGACUAGAGUCCGGUAGAGGAGUAUGGAAUUCCUGGUGUAGCGGUGAAAUGCGCAGAUAUCAGGAGGAACACCAAUUGCGAAGGCAGUACUCUGGGCCGGAACUGACGCUGAGGAGCGAAAGCGUGGGUAGCGAACAGGAUUAGAUACCCCCGUAGUCC
RNAcentral lists this ribosomal RNA (293 nucleotides) under uncultured bacterium. Its description in RNAcentral is "partial 16S ribosomal RNA". It matches the Rfam family "Bacterial small subunit ribosomal RNA", at positions 505 to 796 of the family's 1533-position model. The record is from RNAcentral.